This 1467-nucleotide long non-coding RNA is filed under the name Homo sapiens (human). RNAcentral's name for it is "novel transcript". The record is from RNAcentral. Lineage: Eukaryota; Metazoa; Chordata; Mammalia; Primates; Hominidae.
AUCCCUUCCAGCCUCAGAGCCCGCCUGGCAGGACUACUGAGCAAGGCCUUGGAAAAUCGGAGCGAUUAGAGCGGUUCAAACAAUACAGAAGUGUAUAAAGUAAGAAUUGAAAGUCUCUUCGCUGCUCUAAUCUCACUCCUCAGAGGUGAUCACUGAUUAUCAUCCCAGAGCCCUCCCUGAAGCCCACACACAGCUUCUUCAGGAAAUGCUGACAGCAUGGACCUGAGUGAGCAGAAGGCUUUUCAGAAUUACAGCCUGAACUAUUUCUUGAGCAAUUUGGGAACUCAUUUCUAAAGCAGUCCUCAGAUUCACACAACGUAGUUUGUGACGGAGUAUGCCCAGAGCAGUGUUAUCACCAGUGCUUUCAGUAACUGCAUACUUAUAAAACAGCCAAACUUCAACCUGUGUUCAGUUUUUAUCUGUUUCUUGGGAAUGUAAUUUGGACAAAAAAGUUACCAAUGUAUUUACAACCAAAUUUCAGAUCUUCAACAUUACAGAGGCUGUCUUGUUGAUGGGGGUGCACCCUGACGAAUGGUGUGCUGGCAAAGAUUUAACAAAAGGCUCCAGAGGAGGGCAGACUUGAAGUGGAGCCUUCAGUGGGCAGUGUGAAGGGUGCUGAUUUCAAACAACUCAUCUGGUAUGACUGAACAUGAAGUUGGGAAGAGAUGUGCAUAAUUGAAGUGGGUGAGAGCCAGUCCAGCACCCUGCAGAGAGUGUGGAAGAUGAUCAAAGUAUGACAUUUCUUCUACCCCAGAGGCUGGCAUUUCUGCAGGCACAAAUGAGCUUGGUUUUCAAGCACUGCUCUUUGAACACAAGGAAUUCCUUUAAUGAUCACGCCGGACUAUAUAGACUUUGGAAUCAGACUCUUUGAAUUCCAGCUCUGCCAUUUACCAACUUUGACACUUUGGACAACGUCUCAUUCUGUCACCCAGGCUGGAGUGCAGUGGCACAAUUAUAGCUCACUGCAGCCUCAAACACCUGGGCUCAAGCAAUCCUUCCACCUCUGCCUCCUGAGUAAUUGGGACUACAGGCAUGUGCCACCACACCCAGCUAAUUUUUAAUUUUUAAUUUUUUUGUAGAGAUGGCGGUCUUGCUAUGUCACCCAGGCUGGUCUUGAACACCUGGCCUCAAGUGAUCCUCCGGCCUUGGUCUCUCAAAGCUCUGGGAUUACAGACAUGAGCCACUGCACCCGGCUCUAUCUCCCCUUCCUAUGUGUGUUAGCUCUAGAACAAGAGAAGCCUUGUUGAGAUUCCUGGCUGCCCACCCCCCAUCACCUCUCUGACUUUGGGCAAGUUGCCUGGCCUCUCUCAGCCUUUAUUUUCUUUUUGUGAAAUGGGGAUAAUAAUAGUACUUGCCUCAUAGGCAAAAUGUUGUGAGAACUAAACGAGAAAAUGCAUGUAAAGCACUUGGCACUUAGUUCUUUUUAUGAUUAUAAUGAUAAUCAGACACAAUAAAUUAUGUCUCACA